Long non-coding RNA from Magnolia sinica, 453 nucleotides. RefSeq lists it as uncharacterized. Lineage: Eukaryota; Viridiplantae; Streptophyta; Magnoliopsida; Magnoliales; Magnoliaceae. The transcript has 3 exons. The record is from RefSeq and is a predicted model, not a curated record.
UGCCUUUUUUUUGGUGAGGCAUUUUACAGUCAUGAAGGAAGACCAGGGAGCCCAAGGAGGAGAAUGUGACACUAGGAUCAACUGUAUGAGAGGGAGAGAAUGUUUUCGAUGUCGCCCACAUCUUUGCAUCUUUUAAUGAUACUUUUAUCCAUGUGACAGAUUUAUCUGGAAGAGAAACCAUGGUCCACGUUACUGGCGGGAUGAAAGUCAAGGCAGACAGGGAUGAGUCCUCUCCCUAUGCUGCCAUGCUUGCAGCACAAGAUGUUGCACAACACUGCAAGGUAUGCACUUCCAUUUCCACUCUCACUAGUUGGUAUUUAGGUGAAAUUGGUAAAUCAUUGGUUGAGAUUGCUUUCACUCUUGUGAAUUGACUAAGGUCAUUGGUAUGCAUGUACAUGCAUCCAUUGUGUGAACUGGAAAUCUUCUUCAAUAGUUAUUUAGGAUUCAUGCAUG